Molecule: small nuclear RNA, 56 nt
Filed under: Zalophus californianus (California sea lion)
Lineage: Eukaryota; Metazoa; Chordata; Mammalia; Carnivora; Otariidae
Also listed under: 1 other name
Description: U7 small nuclear RNA (ENSZCAG00015005800.1)
Rfam family: U7 small nuclear RNA
About the family: Animal histone pre-mRNAs are spliced by a different mechanism than nuclear pre-mRNAs and self-splicing introns. This processing involves the U7 snRNP, which contains only one RNA species: U7.
Source: RNAcentral
AAAUGUUACAGCCCUUUUAGAAUUUGUCUAUCAGGUCCUUACUGGAAGACUCCCCC